GCCCUGGUGGUACAAUGGUUAAGUACUUGGCUGCUAACCAAAAUUUGGAGGUUCAAACCCAUCCGGUGGCU
This 71-nucleotide transfer RNA is filed under the name Loxodonta africana (African savanna elephant). It matches the Rfam family "tRNA". Rfam says of the family: Transfer RNA (tRNA) molecules are approximately 80 nucleotides in length. Their secondary structure includes four short double-helical elements and three loops (D, anti-codon, and T loops). The record is from Rfam by way of RNAcentral. Lineage: Eukaryota; Metazoa; Chordata; Mammalia; Proboscidea; Elephantidae.